UUUAAAAUGAGAGUUUGAUCCUGGCUCAGGACGAACGUUGGCGGCGUGCCUAAUACAUGCAAGUCGAAC
Molecule: ribosomal RNA, 69 nt
Filed under: Fructilactobacillus sanfranciscensis
Lineage: Bacteria; Bacillati; Bacillota; Bacilli; Lactobacillales; Lactobacillaceae
Description: partial 16S ribosomal RNA
Rfam family: Bacterial small subunit ribosomal RNA
Source: RNAcentral